This is a non-coding RNA of Pelobates cultripes (western spadefoot toad), 666 nucleotides long. Lineage: Eukaryota; Metazoa; Chordata; Amphibia; Anura; Pelobatidae. The record is from the annotation of a GenBank genome assembly.
ACAUUACUUAUAGAGAUGCAUUGAUUCAAUGCGUCUAAAUGAGGAGAUGCUGAUUGGCGCAUGCACGAUUGCCUCCCAAUGCUUUUCUAUGGGAAAGCUUUGGCUUGGCUUAUAUCAUCAAGUUUGAUAAUCUGAGACAAGGGGCCAGUCUCAAGUGAGUAGAUAACCUUUUACCUUCCUGAAGUUGGACUGGUGAUCUAAUUUGCACUAUUAGAUCUUUAGUGUCAGGAAUACAUGUUUGUAAUUCUAUAGUAUUCCUUUUAUGUUGCCAUGUAUAAAGAUCUACAGCUAAAAUGUAUUUAGAAAGUAUUCAGACCACUUAAUUUUUUUUAACUUUUAUUAGGUUGCAGCCUUAUAUUACAAUUGUCUAAAUUAUUUUUUUUCAGGUGAAUCUACACUCAAUACCACAUGAUGACAAAGAAAUAAGCAGAUUUUCUCACCACUGCAAAUAUAUUAAAGAGAAAAAAAUGAAAUUCCAACUUGACACAAGUAUUCAGACCCUUAAGUCAGUACUUAAUUAAAACACCUUUGGCAGCAAUUGUAGCCUCAAUUUUUUUUGGUUAUGAUGUGACAAGCUUUGCACACCUGACGUUAAGUAGUUUUUGCUAUUCAUCUCUGCAGAUCCUCUCAAGCUCUGUCAGGUUGGAUGAGGACCUUUGGUAGACC